CGUCGCUGUCAUCUUCUUUAUA
This 22-nucleotide non-coding RNA is filed under the name Arabidopsis thaliana (thale cress). The record is from RNAcentral. Lineage: Eukaryota; Viridiplantae; Streptophyta; Magnoliopsida; Brassicales; Brassicaceae.